RNAcentral lists this ribosomal RNA (497 nucleotides) under uncultured bacterium. RNAcentral describes it as "partial 16S ribosomal RNA". It matches the Rfam family "Bacterial small subunit ribosomal RNA", at positions 28 to 507 of the family's 1533-position model. The record is from RNAcentral.
GAUGAACGCUGGCGGCGUGCCUAAUACAUGCAAGUCGAGCGAACAGAUAAGGAGCUUGCUCCUUUGACGUUAGCGGCGGACGGGUGAGUAACACGUGGGUAACCUACCUAUAAGGCUGGAAUAACUCCGGGAAACCGGGGCUAAUGCCGGAUAACAUUUAGAACCGCAUGGUUCUAAAGUGAAAGAUGGUUUUACUAUCACUUAUAGAUGGACCCGCGCCGUAUUAGCUAGUUGGUAAGGUAACGGCUUACCAAGGCAACGAUACGUAGCCGACCUGAGAGGGUGAUCGGCCACACUGGAACUGAGACACGGUCCAGACUCCUACGGGAGGCAGCAGUAGGGAAUCUUCCGCAAUGGGCGAAAGCCUGACGGAGCAACGCCGCGUGAGUGAUGAAGGUCUUCGGAUCGUAAAACUCUGUUAUUAGGGAAGAACAAAUGUGUAAGUAACUGUGCACGUCUUGACGGUACCUAAUCAGAAAGCCACGGCUAACUACGUG